GAUGAAGAACGUAGCAAAAUGCGAUAAGUAAUGUGAAUUGCAGAAUUCAGUGAAUCAUCGAAUCUUUGAACGCACAUUGCGCCCGCCAGUAUUCUGGCGGGCAUGCCUGUUCGAGCGUCAUUUCAACCCUCAAGCACAGCUUGGUGUUGGGACUCGCGUUAAUUCGCGUUCCCCAAAUUGAUUGGCGGUCACGUCGAGCUUCCAUAGCGUAGUAGUAAAACCCUCGUUACUGGUAAUCGUCGCGGCCACGCCGUUAAACCCCAACUUCUGAAUGUUGACCUCGUAUCAGGUAGGAAUACCCGCUGAACUUAAGCAUAUCAAUAAGCGGAGGA
This 332-nucleotide unclassified non-coding RNA is filed under the name soil metagenome. RNAcentral describes it as "partial contains 5.8S ribosomal RNA, internal transcribed spacer 2, and large subunit ribosomal RNA". The stretch from base 1 to 120 matches the Rfam family "5.8S ribosomal RNA", at positions 35 to 154 of the family's 154-position model. The record is from RNAcentral.